CAUCUGGGUUAAGAUGGCUGCAGUGGAGAGACAGGGCCCUUCCUCUCCUCACCAUUGAUUGAUAUAGAGUGCCUGGAAACAACAAAAAAACCAAGAUCAGAUGACCAAGGGGCUCCAUAGUAGGGCACAGCAUUAAAGUCUAGAAAGUUUAAAUGAAGCAAGCCCUUGAAAAUUUGACAAUCAUCUCUCAAGAGACUGUUUGAGCCGAAUUCAGGAUGGCACUGGUGGAAUAUAACUACUUGCAAAACUAAUUACAUCAAUACAAUGUUUUUAUAAUUGUUUUCUGACAUCUCGUUAUUCAUCCUUUUCUGACAUACCUCUCCUCCAAAAAAGGAAGGCACCUGUUAAAAGCAGCUAGGCAGAAAAGCUGGAAUUUGGAGGAUGUUGAUUGAAGUCUGUCCUCUGUAGAUACUAAAAGUAAAACUCUAUCCUUUUUAUCUUUAAAAAAAAAAAACUUUAUGAAAGAAAAAAAAAACAACCA
This 481-nucleotide long non-coding RNA is filed under the name Monodelphis domestica (gray short-tailed opossum). RNAcentral describes it as "lncRNA (ENSMODG00000039637.1)". Lineage: Eukaryota; Metazoa; Chordata; Mammalia; Didelphimorphia; Didelphidae. The record is from RNAcentral.